Molecule: ribosomal RNA, 528 nt
Filed under: uncultured soil bacterium
Lineage: Bacteria
Description: bacterial SSU rRNA
Rfam family: Bacterial small subunit ribosomal RNA
Source: RNAcentral
AGAUUGAACGCUGGCGGCAUGCCUAACACAUGCAAGUCGAACGGUAACGCGGGGGCAACCCUGGCGACGAGUGGCGGACGGGUGAGUAAUACGUAGGAAUCUGCCCAUUUGUGGGGGAUAACCCGGCGAAAGCCGGGCUAAUACCGCAUACGCUCUACGGAGGAAGGCGGGGGAUCGUAAGACCUCGCGCUAAUGGAUGAGCCUACGUCGGAUUAGCUAGUUGGUAGGGUAACGGCCUACCAAGGCGACGAUCCGUAGCUGGUCUGAGAGGACGAUCAGCCACACUGGGACUGAGACACGGCCCAGACUCCUACGGGAGGCAGCAGUGGGGAAUAUUGGACAAUGGGGGACAACCCUGAUCCAGCAAUGCCGCGUGUGUGAAGAAGGCCUGCGGGUUGUAAGCACUUUCGAGUAGGGAAGAAAAAAGUCGGAAGCUAACACCUCCGAGCUUGACGUUACCCAUAGAAGAGACACCGGACUAACUCCGUGCCCAACGCACGACCGACGUAACUCGUAGACGGCGGCGUA